GACGAACGCUGGCGGCGUGCUUAACACAUGCAAGUCGAACGGAAAGGCCCUGCUUUUGUGGGGUGCUCGAGUGGCGAACGGGUGAGUAACACGUGAGUAACCUGCCCUUGACUUUGGGAUAACUUCAGGAAACUGGGGCUAAUACCGGAUAGGAGCUCCUGCUGCAUGGUGGGGGUUGGAAAGUUUCGGCGGUUGGGGAUGGACUCGCGGCUUAUCAGCUUGUUGGUGGGGUAGUGGCUUACCAAGGCUUUGACGGGUAGCCGGCCUGAGAGGGUGACCGGCGACAUUGGGACUGAGAUACGGCGCAGACUCCUACGGGAGGCAGCAGGGGGGAAUAUUGCACAAUGGGCGGAAGCCUGAUGCAGCAACGCCGCGUGCGGGAUGACGGCCUUCGGGUUGUAAACCGCUUUCGCCUGUGACGAAGCGUGAGUGACGGUAAUGGGUAAAGAAGCACCGGCUAACUACGUG
Molecule: ribosomal RNA, 468 nt
Filed under: uncultured bacterium
Lineage: Bacteria
Description: partial 16S ribosomal RNA
Rfam family: Bacterial small subunit ribosomal RNA
Source: RNAcentral